RNAcentral lists this ribosomal RNA (253 nucleotides) under uncultured bacterium. RNAcentral describes it as "partial 16S ribosomal RNA". It matches the Rfam family "Bacterial small subunit ribosomal RNA", at positions 524 to 776 of the family's 1533-position model. The record is from RNAcentral.
UACGUAGGGAGCAAGCGUUGUCCGGAAUCAUUGGGCGUAAAGCGCGCGUAGGUGGCCUCGUAAGUCCGCUGUAAAAGUCAAAGGCUCAACCUUUGAAAGCCGGUGGAUACUGCGGGGCUAGAGUACGGAAGAGGCGAGUGGAAUUCCUGGUGUAGCGGUGGAAUGCGCAGAUAUCAGGAGGAACACCAAUAGCGAAGGCAGCUCGCUGGGACGUUACUGACGCUGAGACGCGAAAGCGUGGGGAGCAAACAGG